CAUGUAGGCGGAGUGAUCAGUCAGUGGUGAAAUCUCCCGGCUUAACCGGGAGCGUGCUACUGAUACUGUCAUUCUUGAGUUCGGAAGAGGAAAGUGGAAUUCCUGGUGUAGCGGUGAAAUGCGUAGAUAUCAGGAAGAACACCAGUAGCGAAGGCGGCUUUCUGGUCCGAUACUGACGCUGAGAUGCGAAAGCGUGGGGAGCAAACCGGAUUAGAUACCCGAGUAGUCC
RNAcentral lists this ribosomal RNA (229 nucleotides) under uncultured bacterium. RNAcentral's name for it is "partial 16S ribosomal RNA". It matches the Rfam family "Bacterial small subunit ribosomal RNA", at positions 568 to 796 of the family's 1533-position model. The record is from RNAcentral.